RNAcentral lists this ribosomal RNA (482 nucleotides) under uncultured bacterium. RNAcentral's name for it is "partial 16S ribosomal RNA". It matches the Rfam family "Bacterial small subunit ribosomal RNA", at positions 30 to 507 of the family's 1533-position model. The record is from RNAcentral.
AUUGAACGCUGGCGGCAUGCCUUACACAUGCAAGUCGAACGGUAACGGGCCUUCGGGUGCCGACGAGUGGCGAACGGGUGAGUAAUACAUCGGAACGUGCCCGAUCGUGGGGGAUAACGAGGCGAAAGCUUUGCUAAUACCGCAUACGAUCUACGGAUGAAAGCAGGGGACCGCAAGGCCUUGCGCGGGCGGAGCGGCCGCUGGCAGAUUAGGUAGUUGGUGGGAUAAAAGCUUACCAAGCCGACGAUCUGUAGCUGGUCUGAGAGGAUGAUCAGCCACACUGGGACUGAGACACGGCCCAGACUCCUACGGGAGGCAGCAGUGGGGAAUUUUGGACAAUGGGCGCAAGCCUGAUCCAGCCAUGCCGCGUGCAGGAUGAAGGCCUUCGGGUUGUAAACUGCUUUUGUACGGAACGAAAAGCCUUCUUUUAAUACAGGAGGGUCAUGACGGUACCGUAAGAAUAAGCACCGGCUAACUACGUG